GGGGAGCUGUGGAAGCAGUA
This 20-nucleotide microRNA is filed under the name Pan troglodytes (chimpanzee). RNAcentral describes it as "ptr-miR-920". Its record names the gene ptr-miR-920. The record is from miRBase by way of RNAcentral. Lineage: Eukaryota; Metazoa; Chordata; Mammalia; Primates; Hominidae. RNAcentral also lists the same sequence under 1 other name.